GGGGCGGUAGCUCAGUUGGGAGAGCACCGGCUUUGCAAGCCGGGGGUCAUGGGUUCGAAUCCCAUCCGCUCCA
This 73-nucleotide transfer RNA is filed under the name Gemmatimonadota bacterium. RNAcentral describes it as "tRNA-Ala". It matches the Rfam family "tRNA". Rfam says of the family: Transfer RNA (tRNA) molecules are approximately 80 nucleotides in length. Their secondary structure includes four short double-helical elements and three loops (D, anti-codon, and T loops). Further hydrogen bonds mediate the characteristic L-shaped molecular structure. tRNAs have two regions of fundamental functional importance: the anti-codon, which is responsible for specific mRNA codon recognition, and the 3' end, to which the tRNAs corresponding amino acid is attached (by aminoacyl-tRNA synthetases). tRNAs cope with the degeneracy of the genetic code in two manners: having more than one tRNA (with a specific anti-codon) for a particular amino acid; and 'wobble' base-pairing, i.e. permitting non-standard base-pairing at the 3rd anti-codon position. Lineage: Bacteria; Pseudomonadati; Gemmatimonadota. The record is from RNAcentral.